GGAAAUUUGAAUUAGCAUUAAAUAUUUUUUAUAUUUCUAAUUCUCAUUAUGUUUAUUUUAUAGUUCCCAUGCAUGUUUUUAAUAUUUGCAACUCUUCCGUUUUUCUUAAUUGUCUAUUUAAACAGACUUUUGUAUUGAGAAGUUCAAGUUUGAAUAUUAUUUAAAGUCUUUGAGUUUGAGUUA
Molecule: long non-coding RNA, 183 nt
Organism: Ipomoea nil (Japanese morning glory)
Lineage: Eukaryota; Viridiplantae; Streptophyta; Magnoliopsida; Solanales; Convolvulaceae
Exons: 2
Source: RefSeq, a predicted model, not a curated record